Long non-coding RNA from Macaca fascicularis (crab-eating macaque), 2070 nucleotides. The record is from Ensembl. Lineage: Eukaryota; Metazoa; Chordata; Mammalia; Primates; Cercopithecidae.
GGAAGCUGAGGAGUGAUUAUUUGGUUCUCGGAUGCUUCGAGGGUGCCUCAUGUGGUAUGCGAUCAGUGCACACAUCCCAGGUUACAGCCUCAAUGAAUGUGACCAAGGACCCUGAAUCACAGUGGCUUAACCAAGAUGGAGGUUCACUCCUGUUUCACAAGAAAGUCAAAGCCAGUCAGGUGGUUCUUCUCUACAAUUUUCAGGGGCUCAGCCUCCUUCCAUCUUGUUGGUCUGACUUCCUUAGAGUGUGGCUUCCCUGCCAGUAUCCAUCCUGUCUCCUGCCAGCCAGCAGGGAGAGGAGAAGAGAACAAGAGGGCACAAACCUUCCUUCUUCUAAAGGCAGCCACUGUGCAUGGGCCUCACCUCCCCAUGAUCACAGCCUGGUCACAUGACCUCUGUUUGCUGCAAGGGAUGCUGGGAAAUGUAGUCUUCAUCCUGGAUGUCAACGCCCAGAUUUGUCACUCCUGAGGCCAAGGGGAGAGAGGACAUAGGAGAGAGUCACUUGUUCUGCCCACCCUUGCACACAUUCCUCCAGCAUAGCGUGACCCACUGCCUCAGCUCGUGUAGGACUGAGGGGGUUUGUGGGACACAGACCUUUCAAUUUUAAAACAAGGCAGUUCCAAACAAAUCAUUCCAGCUUGGCUGUAACUCAGAAGUUUCCCUGGAUGUAAGAUUUCUAGUGUUAAAACCAGGAAAGUUCUGGACAAACCUGGACAAGUUGGUCCCCUCUACUCUAGACACACUGGCUUCCUUUCUGCUCCUCCAGCAGGCCAAGCCAGUGCCUGCCUGUAGGGCCUUGGUAUCUGCUGUUACCCCUGUCUGGUAUUCCCUUUCUGCAACUCUAUGCAGUGCUCACUCCUCUUCUGUUGAGAAAAGGCUGCUCUCUGGGUGCCCCGGGGAGCCUGGUCUGCUGUACUCAGCACUACAGGCUCUGUGAAAAUCCCUCCAUGCUCUUCAUAGAAUGAGAUCUGUUCUUUCCACCCUUCUCUGCCCACUUCACUUUCAAAGUCCCUGAGGAGUUUUGAUUUUUAUUCUCUUCACCACUGAAAGAUACAUCUCUUUCCCUGAGGCUGUGGCUGGGCUCACACAUAGCCAGAUAAAUCUGAUAUUAAUAAUAACCUAAAUGAAAAACACGUAUUAAAUCCCAAGAUUAUGAUGUAGGAAGCAAGCAUUCUGAAGAGAUGUGUAAGCCUAAUAAAGGCCAAAGGAUGUGGAGUAAAAGGAAAUGUGGGAUGGAGAAACAUUUCAUGCAACAGAACCCCACCUCUUGGUGAGUUCAUUGGUACAAACUUUCUAGAAGGCAAUUGGCAAUUGCCCAAUGAAAACGCCACUCAUCUUUUAGUCCCAAAUUCCAUUUAUAGGCAUUUAUCCCUAGGAAGUAGAAAAAUAUGUAAAGAUGAAUCUCUAAGGAUGUUUAUAAGAAGAAAGUAGGAAGCCUAAAUGCUUGCUGGUGGCCCCCUGCCCUUCCUCUGGCGCUCCUCUCUCCCCAGUGGCUGGACACUUGCUACGUUUUCCCAGCCUCCCUUGCAGCGAACUGUGACCAUGUGACCAGAUUCUGACCAAUGCAAAGUAAUGAAAGUGUUGUGUGGCAUGUUUUGAAGCCUCCUUACGUCUGUCAUCUGCCUCAUUUCUUAGUUUUUUGUUUCCUCUCUCCUCCUUGGCCUAUGGAUGUGAUGGUUGGUGCUCUUCCCAUCAGUUUGGUCUGUGAAGGUGAGAUUCACAUCCUAGGAAGUGCAAAACACUUCACUGAACAAAAACAGGGUCCGUCAAAUUUUGCAUAAACACUAGACUGUCAAGCUCCAGCUUUGGUUUCUGUGAAAAAUACACUUUUGUCUUAGUUGAAGUUAGAGCUCUGCUAGAUGCAGCUGAAUCACAUCCUAACUUGAUUAAAACACAAAAUUCAUUGAAUACAUUGUGGAACGUCCAUAAAUACCAGUGCUAAAAAACAAUAAUGUUGAUAUGUAGAGUUCUCAUUGUCAAAAUAAGUCCAUAAAAUAUUGUUGAGUGCACAUGAGGCGGGUUUACAUCUGUAUGUAUUAAAACCACAAUUCCAGUUUCAUAAGACAAAAA